This 422-nucleotide ribosomal RNA is filed under the name uncultured bacterium. Its description in RNAcentral is "bacterial SSU rRNA". It matches the Rfam family "Bacterial small subunit ribosomal RNA", at positions 355 to 774 of the family's 1533-position model. The record is from RNAcentral.
UGAGGAAUAUUGGUCAAUGGGGGCAACCCUGAACCAGCCAAGUCGCGUGAAGGAUGAAGGUCUUAUGGAUUGUAAACUUCUUUUGCAGGGGAAUAAAGUGCAGGACGUGUCCUGUUUUGUAUGUACCCUGAGAAUAAGGAUCGGCUAACUCCGUGCCAGCAGCCGCGGUAAUACGGAGGAUCCGAGCGUUAUCCGGAUUUAUUGGGUUUAAAGGGUGCGUAGGUGGUUUGAUAAGUCAGCGGUGAAAGUUUGCAGCUUAACUGUAAAAAUGCCGUUGAAACUGUCGGACUUGAGUGUAAAUGAGGUAGGCGGAAUGCGUGGUGUAGCGGUGAAAUGCAUAGAUAUCACGCAGAACUCCUAUUGCGAAGGCAGCUUACUAAGCUACAACUGACACUGAAGCACGAAAGCGUGGGGAUCAAACA